GUGCUCACUUUAGCAGCACAUAUAUUAAAAAAAAAAUAAUUGGAACAGAUAAAAUUAGAAUGACCCCUGAGCAAGGAUGAUAUGCAAAUUCAUAAAGCAUCCUAUU
Small nuclear RNA from Pteronotus mesoamericanus, 106 nucleotides. NCBI's taxonomy places the organism in Eukaryota, Metazoa, Chordata, Mammalia, Chiroptera, Mormoopidae. The record is from RefSeq and is a predicted model, not a curated record.